GAUGAACGCUGGCGGCGUGCUUAACACAUGCAAGUCGAACGGGAAACCUUUUAAUGAAGCUUCGGCAGAUUUAGCUGGUUUCUAGUGGCGGACGGGUGAGUAACGCGUGGGUAACCUGCCUUAUACAGGGGGAUAACAGUCAGAAAUGACUGCUAAUACCGCAUAAGCGCACAGGACCGCAUGGUCCGGUGUGAAAAACUCCGGUGGUAUAAGAUGGACCCGCGUUGGAUUAGCUUGUUGGUGGGGUAACGGCUCACCAAGGCGACGAUCCAUAGCCGGCCUGGGAGGGUGAACGGCCACAUUGGGACUGGGACACGGCCCAGACUCCUGCGGGAGGCCGCAGUGGGGAAUCUUGCACACUGGGGGAAACCCUGAUGCAGCGACGCCGCGUGAAGGAAGAAGUAUCUCGGUAUGUAAGCUUCUAUCAGCAGGGAAGAUAGUGACGGUACCUGACUAAGAGGCCCCGGCUAACUACGU
This 477-nucleotide ribosomal RNA is filed under the name uncultured bacterium. Its description in RNAcentral is "partial 16S ribosomal RNA". It matches the Rfam family "Bacterial small subunit ribosomal RNA", at positions 28 to 506 of the family's 1533-position model. The record is from RNAcentral.